AUAGUCUUUUAAUUGUAGACUUGUGAAUGGUUCAAUGAGGUGUGAUUAAGGUGAUAGUCUAUUAUCUGAAUUUAGUUUAGUGGUUAGGAACCCAUUGUUACAUUAUUAGACGGAAAGACCCCAAGAGCUUUUUUGUGUUAGAUUUGUUUGGGGUAAAUGUAGAUUAUUCAUUUAUUUUCAGAUCCUUCGUGGAUAAAGGAUAAAGUUACCUUGGGGAUAACUGAGUAAAGGGCAGGGAGAGGUCCUAUUGAUCUGUUUAUUACUACCUCGAUGUUGGCUUGUUGAACCUUUUCGGUGUAGAGGCUGGAAAAGGAAGUCUGUUCGACUUUUAAAUCUUCAUGAGUUGAGUUAAGACCGGUGUAAGCCAGGUUGGUUCUUAUCUAUAAUUGGUUCUAAUUAGUACGAAAGGAUUAUUAGGAUACAGUGUUUCUGUACACAUAGGAAUAGGAAGUAUACAU
RNAcentral lists this ribosomal RNA (458 nucleotides) under Schistosoma mansoni. RNAcentral's name for it is "partial 16S ribosomal RNA". The stretch from base 102 to 387 matches the Rfam family "Bacterial large subunit ribosomal RNA", at positions 2072 to 2648 of the family's 2925-position model. The record is from RNAcentral. Lineage: Eukaryota; Metazoa; Platyhelminthes; Trematoda; Strigeidida; Schistosomatidae.